AUUUUUGCAGAGAUUUUCCCUGGUCAAGAGUGCAACAUGAGUCGUGGAUAUGAACUUUACUGUCAGAUGUACAUUGAUUGGAAAUUAAACAAGAUAUCUGCACUGAGAAUGAAUGAAGUUGAAGAAAGUUGAAAGGCACCCCAGAAGAACCUGAAUUAUUUUAGCCCAAUCCUAGAUUCAUUGAAUAUUUUAGUGUGUGAUAACAUGUGUGAAAUGUGAUCAAUUAUGUGACAAUUUUCAAAACUU
This 246-nucleotide long non-coding RNA is filed under the name Dendronephthya gigantea. Its description in RNAcentral is "uncharacterized LOC114517796, transcript variant X2". The record is from RNAcentral. Lineage: Eukaryota; Metazoa; Cnidaria; Anthozoa; Malacalcyonacea; Nephtheidae.